GGCCUUCUGUAUCCGUGGUGAGAUUUCGUCACACACUAGACAACAAAGGCUGAUGAAACUUCCAAGAUAGGUGAAGCG
RNAcentral lists this microRNA precursor (78 nucleotides) under Schistosoma margrebowiei. Its description in RNAcentral is "mir-3492 microRNA precursor family". It matches the Rfam family "mir-3492 microRNA precursor family". The record is from Rfam by way of RNAcentral. Lineage: Eukaryota; Metazoa; Platyhelminthes; Trematoda; Strigeidida; Schistosomatidae.